AUACGGGGGAUGCAAGCGUUAUUCGGAAUCAUUGGGCGUAAAGGGCACGCAGGCGGUUCUGUCAGUCAGAUGUGAAAGCCCGGGGCUUAACCCCGGACGUGCAUUUGAAACAGCAGGACUUGAGUAUGGUAGAGGAAAGCGGAAUUCCUGGUGUAGAGGUGAAAUUCGUAGAUAUCAGGAGGAACACCGGUGGCGAAGGCGGCUUUCUGGACCAAAACUGACGCUGAGGUGCGAAGGCGUGGGUAGCGAACAGGAUUAGAUACCCUAGUAGUCC
This 274-nucleotide ribosomal RNA is filed under the name uncultured bacterium. Its description in RNAcentral is "partial 16S ribosomal RNA". It matches the Rfam family "Bacterial small subunit ribosomal RNA", at positions 523 to 796 of the family's 1533-position model. The record is from RNAcentral.